This 464-nucleotide ribosomal RNA is filed under the name uncultured bacterium. RNAcentral's name for it is "partial 16S ribosomal RNA". It matches the Rfam family "Bacterial small subunit ribosomal RNA", at positions 338 to 795 of the family's 1533-position model. The record is from RNAcentral.
ACUACGGGAGGCAGCAGUGGGGAAUUUUGGACAAUGGGCGCAAGCCUGAUCCAGCUAUUCCGCGUGUGGGAUGACGGCCCUCGGGGUGUAAACCACUUUAGUAGAGAACGAAAAGGAGCUAUCGAAUAAAUAGCUCUGCUGACGGUACACUAAGAAUAAGCAUCGGCUAACUCCGUGCCAGCAGCCGCGGUAAUACGGGGGAUGCGAGCGUUAUCCGGAUUUAGUGGGUUUAAAGGGUGCGUAGGAGGAAUGCCAAGCCAGCGGUAAAAUCGCGGGGCUCAACCUCGCUCCGCCGUUGAAACUGGCGUUCUUGAGUGGGCGAGAAGUAUGCGGAAUGCGUGGUGUAGCGGUGAAAUGCAUAGAUAUCACGCAGAACUCCGAUUGCGAAGGCAGCAUACCGGCGCCCAACUGACGCUGAAGCACGAAAGCGUGGGUAUCGAACAGGAUUAGAUACCCUUGUAGUC